GGCUUUAUAGUCAAUAUAUAUGAUAUUAGAUUGCAAAUCUAGGGUAGCAUUUUUGCUAAAGCUU
RNAcentral lists this transfer RNA (64 nucleotides) under Macrocheraia grandis grandis. RNAcentral's name for it is "tRNA-Cys". Lineage: Eukaryota; Metazoa; Arthropoda; Insecta; Hemiptera; Largidae. The record is from RNAcentral.